Non-coding RNA from Ictidomys tridecemlineatus (thirteen-lined ground squirrel), 813 nucleotides. NCBI's taxonomy places the organism in Eukaryota, Metazoa, Chordata, Mammalia, Rodentia, Sciuridae. The record is from RefSeq and is a predicted model, not a curated record.
GCUGUAACUCUAGCCCUGUUAUGUAUUUUUGACACAAUUAAAAAUUUAAAAUAAAUAUUGAUACUAAGGCCUAAUUGCUUCAAUCUUCUAAUGUAUGUGAUUUGAGAUGGAGCUCUGGUAUUUAAUAAUUUAAAAAGCCUCUCAGAUGAUUCCAUAGUGUAAGGUCAGGCACCAGUGACCAAAAGGAGGUAGAUUAAAAGCUGCUGAACAAGGCUUUAUUAAAAUUUGCUCCCUGUUGAGACCCUCCAGUCCAACAGAGCUGGUCUGGGGGAAGUUCCAUCCAGGCUCAGCCAGGCUGGAAUUUUAUCUGGCUUAGGGCAGAAAGAGAUGACUUAGGACAGGAAAGGGAGGUUUUUAGGGUCUCUCGUCCUCCUGGGGGGAUCUUGCUGAGCUCCAUGUCCUUCCAGGACUAGUCAGGAGACCCCACUGAUUGACAGGUGGUUAUCACUACUUGUCUGUCGGCACCUGAUUGGUUGUUCUUUAGCCCCUCCCCCCCCAGGUUGCCUGGUGUUUUGUUCCCUUAGCCACCUCAAACUGACCUAACACAUAGCACAAAGAAACACUGAAAUAAACAUAAGAACAUAAGGAAUUAUAAGGCAAGUUAAAAGUAGAUGAUUUUACAUGAUUCCAUAAGCAGUUUCAUUCUAGGAGAUUAAAUAUUCUUUGGCCCAGUCCCUAUUGUAAUCUGGAAUGCAAAGAGAACUUCCGGGAAGGACGAUGAUGCAGUAAAAAAGCCUUUACCAGAAUCUGGCACCUUGAUCUUGGUCUUCUUCAUCUCUAACUUUAAGAAAUAAAUUCACUUAUUAAAAAUUA